RNAcentral lists this ribosomal RNA (112 nucleotides) under Pityranthe trichosperma. RNAcentral also lists the same sequence under 3 other names. The record is from RNAcentral. Lineage: Eukaryota; Viridiplantae; Streptophyta; Magnoliopsida; Malvales; Malvaceae.
UGCGAUCAUACCAGCACUAAUGCACCGGAUCCCAUCAGAACUCCGAAGUUAAGCGUGCUUGGGCGAGAGUAGUACUAGGAUGGGUGACCUCCUGGGAAGUCCUCGUGUUGCA